This 421-nucleotide ribosomal RNA is filed under the name uncultured bacterium. RNAcentral's name for it is "bacterial SSU rRNA". It matches the Rfam family "Bacterial small subunit ribosomal RNA", at positions 28 to 447 of the family's 1533-position model. The record is from RNAcentral.
GAUGAACGCUAGCGGGAGGCCUAAUACAUGCAAGUCGAGCGGUAGAGUGACUUCGGUUGCUUGAGAGCGGCGAACGGGUGAGUAACGCGUACACAAUCUACCUUUAAGAGGGGAAUAGCCCUGGGAAACUGGGAUUAAUGCCCCAUGGCAUCACGAGACGGCAUCGUUUUGUGAUUAAAGCUGAGGUGCUUAGAGAUGAGUGUGCGUCUGAUUAGCUAGUUGGUGCGGUAACGGCGCACCAAGGCGACGAUCAGGUAGGGGGCGUGAGAGCGUGGACCCCCACACGGGUACUGAGACACGGACCCGACUCCGUACGGGAGGCAGCAGUAAGGAAUAUUGGUCAAUGGAGGAAACUCUGAACCAGCCAUCCCGCGUGCAGGAAGAAUGCCCUAUGGGUUGUAAACUGCUUUUAUCUGGGAAG